This 489-nucleotide ribosomal RNA is filed under the name uncultured bacterium. RNAcentral describes it as "partial 16S ribosomal RNA". It matches the Rfam family "Bacterial small subunit ribosomal RNA", at positions 28 to 507 of the family's 1533-position model. The record is from RNAcentral.
GAUGAACGCUAGCGGCAGGCUUAAUACAUGCAAGUCGAGGGGCAGCAGGACUGUAGCAAUACAGUUGCUGGCGACCGGCAAACGGGUGCGGAACACGUACGCAACCUACCCAAAACUGGGGGAUAGCCCGGGGAAACCCGGAUUAAUACCUCGUAACCUUUUUAAGUGGCAUCACUUGAUAAGUAUAGCUCCGGCGGUUUUGGAUGGGCGUGCGCCUGAUUAGGUAGUUGGUGCGGGUAACGGCCCACCAAGCCUGCGAUCAGUAACUGGUGUGAGAGCACGACCAGUCACACGGGCACUGAGACACGGGCCCGACGCCUACGGGAGGCAGCAGUAAGGAAUAUUGGUCAAUGGACGCAAGUCUGAACCAGCCAUGCCGCGUGAAGGAUGAAGGUCCUCUGGAUUGUAAACUUCUUUUAUGGGGGACGAAACCCGGAUAUUCUUAUCCGAUUGACGGUACCUCAGGAAUAAGCACCGGCUAACUCCGUG